This 224-nucleotide long non-coding RNA is filed under the name Ananas comosus (pineapple). RNAcentral describes it as "long non-coding RNA (ACOM_LNC009206)". Lineage: Eukaryota; Viridiplantae; Streptophyta; Magnoliopsida; Poales; Bromeliaceae. The record is from RNAcentral.
UAAAAGGAGGAUUGUGAGUUGAUUUAUGUCGGGAAGUGGCAAUGCAUGAUGGAGAAGAAGAUAGAGUCACCUGAGAAGAAUAGAAUUUGAGAAUUUGUUGAUUUGCCAAAGAGAAAGAAUGCAAUUGGAUGUCCGUAGGUUUUUAAGGUGAAGUAGUAUGUAAAUAGGAAUGUAAAGAGAUUCAAGGCGAGGUGAGUGGGGAAGGGAUGUGCUUACAAGCUAGG